ACGAACGCUGGCGGCGUGCUUAACACCUGCCAGUCGAACGGAAAGGCCCUGCUUUUGUGGGGUGCUCGAGUGGCGAACGGAUGAGUAACACGUGAGUAACCUGCCCUUGACUUUGGGAUAACUUCAGGAAACUGGGGCUAAUACCGGAUAGGAGCUCCUGCUGCAUGGUGGGGGUUGGAAAGUUUCGGCGGUUGGGGAUGGACUCGCGGCUUAUCAGCUUGUUGGUGGGGUAGUGGCUUACCAAGGCUUUGACGGGUAGCCGGCCUGAGAGGGUGACCGGCCACAUUGGGACUGAGAUACGGCCCAGACUCCUACGGGAGGCAGCAGUGGGGAAUAUUGCACAAUGGGCGGAAGCCUGAUGCAGCAACGCCGCGUGCGGGAUGACGGCCUUCGGGUUGUAAACCGCUUUCGCCUGUGACGAAGCGUGAGUGACGGUAAUGGGUAAAGAAGCACCGGCUAACUACGUG
This 467-nucleotide ribosomal RNA is filed under the name uncultured bacterium. Its description in RNAcentral is "partial 16S ribosomal RNA". It matches the Rfam family "Bacterial small subunit ribosomal RNA", at positions 29 to 507 of the family's 1533-position model. The record is from RNAcentral.